AGAGUUUGAUCCUGGCUCAGGAUGAACGCUGGCGGUCUGCUUAACACAUGCAAGUCGAACGCAAGUAGAAAUACUUGAGUGGCGGACGGGUGAGUAACGCGUGAGAAUCUGCCUUUUGGUCGGGGACAACCACUGGAAACGGUGGCUAAUACCGGAUAUGCCUAACGGUGAAAGAUUAAUUGCCAGAAGAGGAGCUCGCGUCUGAUUAGCUAGUUGGUGAGGUAAGAGCUCACCAAGGCAUCGAUCAGUAGCUGGUCUGAGAGGAUGAUCAGCCACACUGGGACUGAGACACGGCCCAGACUCCUACGGGAGGCAGCAGUGGGGAAUUUUCCGCAAUGGGCGAAAGCCUGACGGAGCAAGACCGCGUGAGGGAGGAAGGCUCUUGGGUUGUAAACCUCUUUUGUCAGGGAAGAACACAAUGACGGUACCUGAAGAAUCAGCAUCGGCUAACUCCGUGCCAGCAGCCGCGGUAAUACGGGGGAUGCAAGCGUUAUCCGGAAUUAUUGGGCGUAAAGCGUCCGCAGGUGGCUAAUCAAGUCUGCUGUCAAAGGUUGGGGCUUAACCCCAAAAAGGCAGUGGAAACUGAGAAGCUAGGGUGCAGUAGGGGUAGAGGGAAUUCCCGGUGUAGCGGUGAAAUGCGUAGAGAUCGGGAAGAACAUCGGUGGCGAAAGCGCUCUACUGGACUGCAACUGACACUCAGGGACGAAAGCUAGGGGAGCGAAUGGGAUUAGAUACCCUAGUAGUCC
This 746-nucleotide ribosomal RNA is filed under the name uncultured bacterium. Its description in RNAcentral is "bacterial SSU rRNA". It matches the Rfam family "Bacterial small subunit ribosomal RNA", at positions 8 to 796 of the family's 1533-position model. The record is from RNAcentral.